RNAcentral lists this ribosomal RNA (585 nucleotides) under uncultured bacterium. RNAcentral's name for it is "partial 16S ribosomal RNA". It matches the Rfam family "Bacterial small subunit ribosomal RNA", at positions 355 to 1375 of the family's 1533-position model. The record is from RNAcentral.
UGGGGAAUUUUGGACAAUGGGCGAAAGCCUGAUCCAGCAAUGCCGCGUGUGUGAAGAAGGCCUUCGGGUUGUAAAGCACUUUUGUCCGGAAAGAAAUCCUUGGCUCUAAUACAGUCGGGGGAUGGCGGUACCGGAAGAAUAAGCACCGGCUAACUACGUGCCAGCAGCCGCGGUAAUACGUAGGGUGCAAGCGUUAAUCGGAAUUACUGGGCGUAAAGCGUGCGCAGGCGGUUUGCUAAGACCGAUGUGAAAUCCCCGGGCUCAACCUGGGAACUGCAUUGGUGACUGGCAGGCUAGAGUAUGGCAGAGGGGGGUAGAAUUCCACGUGUAGCAGUGAAAUGCGUAGAGAUGUGGAGGAAUACCGAUGGCGAAGGCAGCCCCCUGGGCCAAUACUGACGCUCAUGCACGAAAGCGUGGGGAGCAAACAGGAUUAGAUACCCUGGUAGUCCACGCCCUAAACGAUGUCAACUAGUUGUUGGGGAUUCAUUUCCUUAGUAACGUAGCUAACGCGUGAAGUUGACCGCCUGGGGAGUACGGUCGCAAGAUUAAAACUCAAAGGAAUUGACGGGGUCAUAGCUGUUUCCU